GUCCUGCGGUGUUCGUUAUGGUUUUCUGUUGUUUUGAACCAAUGACAUGUUUCUAGGGAGCCUCAUAUUGUGGUGCAGCUGACAAGCCCUCUUCGAAGGGAUCUCAAAAGCGCGACUGCGGACACCCACCUGCGAGAGCAGGUUUGAAACACUUAAACCGGACGGCACAUGCGGGCU
Molecule: non-coding RNA, 177 nt
Filed under: Gorillibacterium timonense
Lineage: Bacteria; Bacillati; Bacillota; Bacilli; Caryophanales; Paenibacillaceae
Description: 6S / SsrS RNA
Rfam family: 6S / SsrS RNA
About the family: E. coli 6S RNA was the first non coding RNA to be sequenced, but its function was unknown until recently. It consists of 184 nucleotides that fold into an extended hairpin structure with a large single-stranded internal bulge.
Source: RNAcentral